RNAcentral lists this ribosomal RNA (468 nucleotides) under uncultured bacterium. RNAcentral describes it as "partial 16S ribosomal RNA". It matches the Rfam family "Bacterial small subunit ribosomal RNA", at positions 29 to 507 of the family's 1533-position model. The record is from RNAcentral.
AACGAACGCUGGCGGCGUGCUUAACACAUGCAAGUCGAACGGAAAGUCCCUGCUUUUUUGGGGUGCUCGACGUGCGACCUGGUGACUAACACUUGAGUAACCUAUCCUUCACUUUGGGAUAACUUCAGGCAACUUGGUCUAAUACCAGCUAGGAUCUCCUGCUGCUGGGUGGGGCUUGGAUAGUUUCGGCGGUUGGUGAUGGACUCGCGGCUUAUCAGCUUGUUGGUGGGGUAGUGGCUUACCAAGGCUUUGACGGGUAGCCGGCCUGAGAGGGUGACCGGCAACAUUGGGACUGAGCUAAGGCCCAGCCUCCUACGGGAGGCAGCGGUGGGGAAUAUUGCACAAUGGGCGGAAGCCUGAUGCAGCAAAGCAGCGUGCGGGAUGACGGCAUUCGGGUUGUAAACCGCUUUCGCCUGUGACGAAGCGUGAGUGACGGUAAUGGGUAAAGAAGCACCGGCUAACUACGUG